RNAcentral lists this ribosomal RNA (505 nucleotides) under uncultured bacterium. RNAcentral's name for it is "partial 16S ribosomal RNA". It matches the Rfam family "Bacterial small subunit ribosomal RNA", at positions 28 to 507 of the family's 1533-position model. The record is from RNAcentral.
GACGAACGCUGGCGGCGUGCCUAAUACAUGCAAGUAGAACGCACAGUUUAUACCGUAGCUUGCUACACCAUAGACUGUGAGUUGCGAACGGGUGAGUAACGCGUAGGUAACCUGCCUAGUAGCGGGGGAUAACUAUUGGAAACGAUAGCUAAUACCGCAUAAUAUUAAUUAUUGCAUGAUAAUUAAUUGAAAGGUGCAAUUGCACCACUACCAGAUGGACCUGCGUUGUAUUAGCUAGUAGGUGAGGUAACGGCUCACCUAGGCGACGAUACAUAGCCGACCUGGAAGGGGGAUCGGCCCAACUGGGACUGAGACACGGCCCAGACUCCUACGGGAGGCAGCAGUAGGGAAUCUUCGGCAAUGGACGAAAGUCUGACCGAGCAACGCCGCGUGAGUGAAGAAGGUUUUCGGAUCGUAAAGCUCUGUUGUAAGAGAAGAACGGGUGUGAGAGUGGAAAGUUCACACUGUGACGGUAUCUUACCAGAAAGGGACGGCUAACUACGUG